UACGUAGGGUGCGAGCGUUAAUCGGAAUUACUGGGCGUAAAGCGUGCGCAGGCGGUUUGUUAAGACAGAUGUGAAAUCCCCCGGGCUUAACCUGGGAACUGCAUUUGUGACUGGCAAGCUAGAGUAUGGCAGAGGGGGGGUAGAAUUCCACGUGUAGCAGUGAAAAUGCGUAGAGAUGUGGAGGAAUACCGAUGGCGAAAGGCAGCCCCCCUGGGGCCCAAUAC
RNAcentral lists this ribosomal RNA (224 nucleotides) under uncultured bacterium. RNAcentral's name for it is "partial 16S ribosomal RNA". It matches the Rfam family "Bacterial small subunit ribosomal RNA", at positions 524 to 740 of the family's 1533-position model. The record is from RNAcentral.